UACGGGGGAUGCAAGCGUUAUCCGGAAUCAUUGGGCGUAAAGCGCCUGUAGGUUGUUUAAUAAGUCUGUUGUUAAAGACUAGGGCUUAACCCUAGAAAAGCAAUGGAAACUACUAGACUAGAGUAUGGCAGGGGUAGAGGGAAUUUCUAGUGUAGCGGUGAAAUGCGUAGAUAUUAGAAAGAACACCGGUGGCGAAAGCGCUCUACUGGACCAUUACUGACACUCAGAGGCGAAAGCUAGGGUAGCAAAAGGG
RNAcentral lists this ribosomal RNA (253 nucleotides) under uncultured bacterium. Its description in RNAcentral is "partial 16S ribosomal RNA". It matches the Rfam family "Bacterial small subunit ribosomal RNA", at positions 524 to 776 of the family's 1533-position model. The record is from RNAcentral.